AGUGAACGCUGGCGGUAGGCCUAACACAUGCAAGUCGAACGGCGGCACAGUAAGAGCUUGCUCUUACGGGUGGCGAGUGGCGGACGGGUGAGGAAUACAUCGGAAUCUACUUUUUCGUGGGGGAUAACGUAGGGAAACUUACGCUAAUACCGCAUACGACCUACGGGUGAAAGCAGGGGAUCUUCGGACCUUGCGCGAUUGAAUGAGCCGAUGUCGGAUUAGCUAGUUGGCGGGGUAAAGGCCCACCAAGGCGACGAUCCGUAGCUGGUCUGAGAGGAUGAUCAGCCACACUGGAACUGAGACACGGUCCAGACUCCUACGGGAGGCAGCAGUGGGGAAUAUUGGACAAUGGGCGCAAGCCUGAUCCAGCCAUACCGCGUGGGUGAAGAAGGCCUUCGGGUUGUAAAGCCCUUUUGUUGGGAAAGAAAAGCAGCAGGUUAAGACCCCGCUGUUCUGACGGUACCCAAAGAAUAAGCACCGGCUAACUUCGU
Molecule: ribosomal RNA, 491 nt
Filed under: uncultured bacterium
Lineage: Bacteria
Description: partial 16S ribosomal RNA
Rfam family: Bacterial small subunit ribosomal RNA
Source: RNAcentral